RNAcentral lists this transfer RNA (75 nucleotides) under Actinomadura decatromicini. Its description in RNAcentral is "Actinomadura sp. CYP1-5 tRNA-Ser". The record is from RNAcentral. Lineage: Bacteria; Bacillati; Actinomycetota; Actinomycetes; Streptosporangiales; Thermomonosporaceae.
GCAUAAUGGAGUGACAGCGUUUAAGUCGGACUUCUAAUCCGACGGUCGCGGGUUCGAAUCCUGCCGGGUGCGCCA